UUUUUUAAACAGAACACUCCCAAGCUCAAACAGUAUACAAGUAUAUAGUACGGCCUUUUGCAUCAGAAACGCGUCAUUUUCUCUUUCCUUUCUUCCUACUCCUCUCUCACUCCCAGCUCCACAACAAUGUGGUUACUGUAUUCUCUGUCUCUACUUCUCCUUCUCCUGCUAUUCACUUUAACAGAUCUCUCCUACUCCAUUGCUAUAAACACCUCCAUUGACUACCUCAAGCUUCCAUUGCUCCAUAGAACCCCAUUCACGUCCCCUUCUCAAGCCCUUUCUUUUGAUAUCCGCCGCCUCUCUCUACUCCACCACCAACACCAACGGCUCUCUUUCAAAUCCCCUGUAAUCUCUGGUGCUUCCUCUGGCUCUGGUCAGUACUUUGUCUCGUUACGCCUUGGUUCUCCCCCUCAGACUCUGCUCUUAGUUGCCGAUACAGGCAGCGAUCUUGUCUGGGUCAAAUGUUCCGCCUGCAAAAACUGUUCCAACUACGCCCCAGGAUCUGCAUUCCUGGCUCGCCACUCCUCCACAUUCUCCCCAAUUCACUGUUUCAACUCGCUGUGUCAAUUCGUUCCCCAACCCCGCCCCAAUCCUUGUAACCACUCUCGCUUACACAGUCCUUGUCGAUACGAGUAUUUAUACGGCGAUGGGUCAAAGACGACUGGAUUCUUCUCCAGAGAAACCACAACGUUGAACACAAGCACUGGAAGACAGAAAAGGCUGAAAAGUCUAGCAUUCGGGUGCGGGUUCCGGAUCUCGGGUCCUAGUCUUACGGGUGCGAGCUUCAAGGGCGCUCAUGGGGUAAUGGGUUUGGGUAGAGCACCCAUUUCGUUUUCUUCUCAGCUGGGUCGCCGUUUUGGCAACAAGUUCUCCUAUUGUCUCAUGGACUACACUCUCUCUCCGGCUCCCACCAGCUAUCUCAUGAUUGGCGGCAUCCAAAACAACGCGGUUUCGAAGAAGAGAAUCAUGAAAUUCACCCCAUUACAAGUAAAUCCUCAAGCACCCACAUUUUACUAUAUUGGUAUCAAGAGCGUCUCCGUUGACGGUGUAAAAUUGCCGAUUAAUUCCUCCGUUUGGUCAAUUGACGAGUUGGGUAACGGCGGUACGAUCAUUGAUUCAGGAACGACGUUGACUUUCAUAACGGAACCAGCUUACCGUGAGAUUCUAAGAGCGUUUAAACGCCAGAUUAAGUUACCAAGUGCAGCUGAGCUGACUCCGGGUUUCGAUCUUUGUGUGAAUGUGUCGGGCGUUUCAAGACCCACCAUGCCUAGAAUGAGUUUCGAACUUGAUGGUGACUCGGUGUUUUCGCCUCCAUCGAUGAACUACUUCGUCGAAACUGCUGACCGAGUUAAGUGCUUAGCGAUUCAACCCGUUAACGCAGAUGGCGAUUUCUCUGUGAUAGGGAAUCUGAUGCAACAAGGAUAUUUGUUGGAGUUCGAUAGAGACAAAUCACGGCUCGGUUUUUCACGUCGCGGCUGUGCUAUCCCCUCACAAUAAAACGGAGCGUUUUGAUUUUUGAUAUUAUUUUCAUUUUUGUUUCAAUUCCUUUUAUCCUUUUCAAUUUCUCCCUUCCUGUAUUUUCAUUCAGAUUGCUGGUUUGUAAAUUUUCAGAUCUCUGUCUCAUCAGAUGGGAUACCAUCUGGUGUGGAUGCUACAAUUGAGUCGGCAAAUGUCACUUUUGCCCUUUUUGAUGUGUUUUUUGGAGAUGCUCCAGUUUCUCCUUCAUUGAAAGCUUCGGUCGCCAAUGGGCUGGCAACAACUCUGAAGCUCACACUAUGAUUUUGGUUUCUUGAAGUUUGUCGUCUGACUGAUGCAUUUAGUUUAUUCAAGCUGAUGUAUCUUCAACGCUGUAUUUAACUUCUUGAUUACUCUAGUUUUGAUCAAUCUUGUUUAAAGUUUCAGAGCUCCAUAUCUCAUCUUCUUUAAAAUUUCUGUAUUUGUUUUUUUAAAUGAAAUCUACCCCAAAGAAAAUUUGUUAAGAUUCUGUUCAAGUACAAUCAACUUUGCUUUGAAAAGUAUCAACCCAUAAGCAAACUACUAAAAGAAUCAUUUACAGCCUUGUCUGAUUUUACUUGCUCAAGCAUCUUGACUAUCUCAGCCAUGGUAGGUCUCAUAGAGGGCUCUGGUUCAAGGCACAUAAACGCAAUUCUGAAUGUAUUAUUAAUCUCAUCGAUCGGUCCACACUUCAGGCUAUUGUCAACUACGUGCUCUUCCCUCUUAUCUUCAACAACUGCCUUGACCCAUGUCACCAGCUUAGUCCCUUCCUCAAAGAAUGCGUCAUCUGUGGGUUUCUUUCCAGUCAAAAGUUCUAAAAGAACAACUCCAAAGCUAUAAACAUCGAUCUUCUCAUUCACUUUUGUUGUAUAAGCAUACUCUGGCGCAAUAUAACCAAAAGAGCCUGCUACAGCAGACAUCGUGUGAGCCUCUCCUUGCUUAGCCAACAUUUUGGCAAGUCCAAAAUCUGCAAUUCUUGCCUGGAAUUCAGAAUCCAACAAGAUAUUACUAGAUUUGACAUCUCGAUGAAUGAUAGGUGGGGAGCAGCCAUGGUGCAUAUAACAUAGUCCUUGUGCAGCUCCAACGGCAAUCUGCAUCCUUCUAGGCCAAUCCAAGGAAACAUGAUGGACUGAGUUUGUCCCUGAUGAUGAUCUUCUGUUCUUUCCGUGAAGCCAUCUAUCCAGGCUUUGAUUCUCCAUAUACUCGUAAACAAGAAGCUUCGAGUCCUCUUUUGAAAUGCAACACAAUAACUUCACUAUAUUUGAGUGCCUAAUUGUGCCAAGGAUUUCAACCUCUGCCACAAAUUCUUUCUCUAGCUUCUCAUCUAAUUUUCUGACAUUCCAAAUCCUCUUGACAGCAACAAAUUCUCCUGCACGGUUAACAGAAAUGCGGUAUACCUGCCCUGACCCUCCACUUCCAAUCAGGUUAUUUUCUGUCAAACUCGACAAAAUGUUUGCUUGUGUGAAAUCCACUUUCUGAAAUGAGGUCAGCUUCCAUGAUGCCAUAUCACGUUUAUGCUUCUUUCUCAUAUAGUCUCUAACCGCAACCAAGGUUAAUAUGGUAGUAACUAUGAAGAUAGUUAUGGCAAGAACAAGGACCAAGACAAGAACUUUAGAGGACAGUUUGUUGGAACUUCUUCUAGGUCUUAUAUAGCAAUUUGGAAGGUUAAGAACUGGAUUAACAGCACAGAGAUUGGAAUUGUUCAGAAAGCUGUUCUCAUAAGCAAGGUUAUCAAAUUGAUCAGGGAUUUGCCCAGAAAGUUGAUUGGAGGACAAGUUGAGGGAUACAAGCUGCAGUUGGCCUAACUUGGAUGGGAUUUCCCCGGAGAAAUGGUUUUCAGAUAAGUCCAAAUCAAGCAGGUCAGGUAAAGACCCUAUCACUGCUGGGAUUUGACCUGAAAGUGCAUUUCUUGAGAGAUUUAGAGUUACCAAUGAUCUCCAGGAGAUUAUAUUGGAUGGAAGUUGGCCAGAAAGUUGAUUUCCAUCAAGCAAAAGAGUAGUAAGAUGAGACAGACUAGUCAAUUCCACUGGAAUUUCGCCUGAAAACAGAUUGUUUCUUGCAUCAAAAAAAAUCAAAUUCACCCAACUAGAAAUUCCAGUAGGAAUUGGACCAGAAAAUUUGUUAUUGCUAAUCUCCAAUCUGGACAAAUUGCAAGCCAGCGAGCUUGGAAGUUCACCCGAAAAUGAAUUAUCACUUAGCAUCAAGUAUGUCAUAUUUAUGGCUGUCCAAAUACCUGAAGGUAUCUCACCAUAAAAGUUGUUGUUGUAAAGCUGAACAGUGAGCAAAGCAUCACAUUUUCCAAGCGACUGAGGCACCUCUCCUGUGAGAUUGUUUGAAAAAGCAACAACACCUAGCAAAACACCUCCAGCACAGAGAUUUUCUGGUAGUUGGCCACUGAAAUGAUUGGUUGAAACCUCAAAAAAUUCGAGCUUCGAAUGAAGGCCUAUUUCUGGUGGCAGGACUCCGCUCAAGUUGUUGGUGAAAACCUUGAAAGUUUUCAGUGUAGAAAUGCGGCCUAUACUUGAGGGUAUUUCACCAGAUAACUUAUUGGAAUACAGAUUGAGAAGUUGCAGGUUCUUUAACUUGCCAAAGUCUUCCGGUAUCGAGCCAUUUAAGUUGUUCGUACCAAAAUCAAUUUCAACCAAAUUCAAUGCUUCCACUUUCUGGGGAAUCUCUCCAGACAAUUUAUUGUGAUACAGAUACAGUUUGGUCAGAUUCUUCAACAAAAACAACCCACCAGGAAUACUGCCCUCCAGAUUGUUUAUUGCCAAAUCCAAGUGCACAAGACUUGAAAGACUGGCAAAACUGUCCGGGAUGGGACCAAUCAAAUUGGCAUCUGUAAUCCACAUGAACGUCAACUUGCUUAGCUUACCAAACUCCACUGGAAUUUUUGAGGGCACAAACCCAUUGUAGGCCAAUCCUAAUUGAAAUAGAUUGGCCAACUUACCAAUCUCCUUAGGAAACGUCCCAUGGAACUGGUUAUUAUUCAGAUACAAGGACUGCAACUCCGUCAGGUUACCUAUCGCAGGUGGAAUGUCACCGGAGAAGUUAUUUGCCGCAAGGUUUAAGUCCUUGAGAGUUGAAAGCCAUUGAUCAAUAUCAUCAGGGAUUGGACCCACGAAAUAAUUUUGAGAAAGGUCCAAUCUUUGUAGCUUUGAGCAAUUGUACAGAACUCUUGGAAAUCCUUCGGUGAUGUAGUUGUAGGACAAGUCAAGAACGGUGAGAUUUCUGAGGUCACAGAUUGUUGCAGGGAUUGUUGCUGUGAUGUUCAUGUUACUGAGAACAAGUUCUCUAACCUUGCCGUCAGUGCAGGAAAUCCCCGUCCAAUUGCAAGGCAAGGAUGAGGAGUUCCAGGACUGGAGUAAGGUUGGAUUUCCCAGUUCUCGCUUGAGCUUCAAGAGGAUGGCCUUCUCUGUGUCGACAUUUUGUGAAAUUACAGAGGAGGGUAUAGCCGUUAGGAGCAAAAAUAAAAGGAGGUUCAGAAAUGAAAGAGGUAGUUUAGACAUUUGAAAUGGGUUGUAGUUAGUUUUGCAGGGGAUAAGAAAGAGAAAGGUAACGGCUUGCUUUGAUAUGGCGAGCAGAGGUGUGUAUAAUAUGUAUGAAGUUGGGCAAAUGGCACUGAGAUUAGCAGUAAUUAGAGACCCACCAUUGAUAAUGAUUGGAGUAGUCAACUGGUAAGUCUUCGUUCCAGCACCGAUCCACUAGUUGCUCGUAGAAAUGUGUGGACAUGCUUUCUAUACGCCCUUCUCUUGUAUGUAAAAGUAAACAUGAAAAAUCUAUGUUUAUAUUCUUCAUGUAUUUAUUUGUAAGAACAUCUUAUCUUUUAUCUUCUUCAAGCUUUUGUUAAGAUCUGGUGUGGAUCGAGUCAUUGGUUAGAAUUUAAAAGGGCAAUUGUGUAAUUGUGAGGAUGAGGAUGAGCAGUUUCACGUUGCUUUUGGUCAAAGUUGGUGUAAUGGAAAAAAGAUAAUGGAUGCAUGCUUCAUACUUUAAAUAUUCUACUAAUGCAAUCUC
Molecule: unclassified non-coding RNA, 5505 nt
Filed under: Hevea brasiliensis (rubber tree)
Lineage: Eukaryota; Viridiplantae; Streptophyta; Magnoliopsida; Malpighiales; Euphorbiaceae
Source: RNAcentral